UAGGGAAUCUUCCGCAAUGGACGCAAGUCUGACGGAGCAACGCCGCGCGAGUGAAGAAGGAUUUCGGUUCGUAAAACUCUGUUGUUAGAGAAGAACAGCGCAUAGAGUAACUGUUAUGCGUGUGACGGUAUCUAACCAGAAAGCCACGGCUAACUACGUGCCAGCAGCCGCGGUAAUACGUAGGUGGUAAGCGUUGUCCGGCUUUAUUGGGCGUAAAGCGAGCGCAGGCGGUCAAUUAAGUCUGAUGUGAAAGCCCCCGGCUCAACCGGGGAGGGUCAAUGGAAACUGGUUGACUUGAGUGCAGAAGAGGAGAGUGGAAUUCCAUGUGUAGCGGUGAAAUGCGUAGAUAUAUGGAGGAACGCCGGUGGCGAAAGCGGCUCUCUGGUCUGUAACUGACGCUGAGGCUCGAAAGCGUGGGGAGCGAACAGG
This 429-nucleotide ribosomal RNA is filed under the name Bacteroidota bacterium. Its description in RNAcentral is "Bacteroidetes bacterium partial 16S ribosomal RNA". It matches the Rfam family "Bacterial small subunit ribosomal RNA", at positions 355 to 776 of the family's 1533-position model. The record is from RNAcentral. Lineage: Bacteria; Pseudomonadati; Bacteroidota.